CUCAAAAAAGGAGUUGACCACCUUUUUCCACGCCUUGCCCACAUGCAAGGAGUUUUAGAAAGGCCUCACAACUAUGUGGAACCUUUUUACAGCUUUUACAACAUGGCUAAAGAGUGUUCAAAUAUGAACAGAAAGCCUUGGGUUGCAUAAAAGAUGUAUUCUUUCUUCACAGCUACCAUUAUUACUUAUUAAAUCUCGGAAAGUUUGAGGAGUAAAUCUUCCAGAAUAUUUUGACCUUAUAUUAUUUGAGCCCAGAUAACAUUGCUUAAUUAUGUCCGGAACUUGCAUCUAAAACUUGAUCAAAGCAUAAUAAGCUCAAUCCAUGAUCCUCUUCGUCAAUGCAAGCCAUGUAAUUCUUUUUCUUUUAUAUUUCAGUUAUUCCAAUUUUUACAUAUUAUAGCUCUGACGGAAAGUUUUGUGAAAAACUGACAAAUACAUCAAAAAAAACCAAAAAAGGCACUUCUCAACAUGCAAAGGAAAAUAAAAUUAAGAAUAUAAUGUAGGAAAUGCCCCAACCAAACCUGUGAAUUGUGGCCCUUUAGUUCUUCUAGUAGCUGAUCUGUCUGCUUAUCCCACACAAGCACAGGCUGAUCAUUUGAUCCGGAUACCACCUUUCCUCUAUCAAAGCUUAUUGCCCGAACAGCUCUACCGAGAAAGAGACGGUAUGAAGCAACACAGAGCCGGCCCUGACAAAUCGGAGGCCCUAAGCGAGUUGGCCCGUUGAGGCCCCCGUACAUUGUUUUUCUACACGUAUAACAAUAGUUAAAUGAAAAAAUAUACGUACAUAUACAUGUAUAUACAUGUGUGUGUGUGUGUGUGUGAAAUCUUUAUACAAUCUCAAAGAUAAAAUUGCUAGAUAAAAUAUCACUUACAGAAAUUAGUCUUCUCACUUUUUAGAGAUUAGGCUAGUAUCAUAUUUCUUCUUAUGUUUUGAGAUGUAAAAUUAGUAGUCAAACAUCUUAAAUGAAGGUUUUCCAACAUUUUUUUUCAAUAGAAAUCAUAACUAAUCCAUUAAACCAUAAUUAUAGCAAAUAACGGUAGAACCUGAUUCAGAGUUUGAAUUAAAAAUACCCCAGGUUCUCAAAUAUGCCAAGUGAAGGUGACACAACCCGUCCCGAAUCACCCUAGUGGACCCGAAACGUGACGUGCUCGAUGAUAGAUGCUGACUAGAUGUCAAAUCUAUCACCAAGCCUGACCACGAG
This 1202-nucleotide long non-coding RNA is filed under the name Olea europaea subsp. europaea. The record is from RNAcentral. Lineage: Eukaryota; Viridiplantae; Streptophyta; Magnoliopsida; Lamiales; Oleaceae.